UACGUAGGGUGCAAGCGUUGUCCGGAAUUAUUGGGCGUAAAGAGCUCGUAGGCGGUUUGUCGCGUCUGCUGUGAAAACUCGGGGCGUUAACCCCGGGCCUCGCAGUGGGUACGGGCAGACUAGAGUGCGGUAGGGGGAGACUGGAAUUCCUGGUGUAGCGGUGAAAUGCGCAGAUAUCAGGAGGAACACCGGUGGCGAAGGCGGGUCUCUGGGCCGUAACUGACGCUGAGGAGCGAAAGCGUGGGGGAGCAAACAGG
This 257-nucleotide ribosomal RNA is filed under the name uncultured bacterium. RNAcentral's name for it is "partial 16S ribosomal RNA". It matches the Rfam family "Bacterial small subunit ribosomal RNA", at positions 524 to 776 of the family's 1533-position model. The record is from RNAcentral.